CACCAUAAUGUUGAAAAGGAAGACAAGGAUACGGCCUGUUGAUGAUGCCAGGACACACAUUCUGUCUUUGAGGGACAAGCCUGGGUUUAUGGAACGAUUUAUCGAUAAUAAAAAAGGUAGAGGAGUGUUUGCUACCCAGCCUGUGGAAGCCGGAGCUUUUGUUUUUGGAGUACAGGGGUGAACUCAUUUCAGCAGAAGAAUGCCGGGCGAGAGACUACACUGAGUUACAGAGCACAUUCCUGUUCGAAUUUGAGUGGCAGAAGCGUCACUGGUGUAUUGAUGCAUCCAAAGAAGACGGUUCUCUUGGAAGAUUGAUUAAUGACAACCACAAAUCUCCAAACUGCACCAUGAAAAAAAUCAUAGUAAACGACACGCCACAUUUGUGUCUAUUUGCUGUGAAGAAAAUUGAAAUAGGAAGUGAAAUCGAAUACAACUACGGUGAUUCACAAUGGCCGUGGCGUAAAAAGGAGCCAAAGCAGCAGACUUCUGUUAUAGAGACCAAAACAUCCCUAACAGAUCACUCUUCCCAUGAUGCCUCCAACAAAGAUGCUGUCGUCACGCAGGAGCCAAAGCAGCAGACUUCUGUUAUAGAGACCAAAACAUCCCUAACAGAUCACUCUUCCCAUGAUGCCUCCAACAAAGAUGCUGUCGUCACGCAGGAGCCAAAGCAGCAGACUUCUGUUAUAGAGACCAAAACAUCCCUAACAGAUCACUCUUCCCAUGAUGCCUCCAACAAAGAUGCUGUCGUCACGCAGGAGCCAAAGCAGCAGACUUCUGUUAUAGAGACCAAAACAUCCCUAACAGAUCACUCUUCCCAUGAUGCCUCCAACAAAGAUGCUGUCGUCACGCAGGAGCCAAAGCAGGUAUUUACCAUCAAAGGGUUUUCUCUAGUGAACUAUACCGAAAGUGAUGAGACGGAUGAGGAGUAUAUUAAAGACAACCCUCCCAGUCCACACUGUGAUGUUGUUCGAAAGAAGACGAGGAAUGGAAACAUUCAGGUGGUUGGAGUAGCUGAUUUUUCUGAUCCUCUGUUUGACUCAAAUGAGAGUAUAGUAGAUGAAACUGAUGAGGAUUCUAGUCUGCAGUCAGACAAUGAAGUUGUUCCAAAAAAUUUUUUGAUGGAUAGAGUACCAAAUUUUUCUGUUCCUCUUAAUGAGUCAAGUGAUGACAGCAUAAAUGAGCCUUCCACUCCUAUGUCUGGAAUGGCUUCACAAAGGCCGAGGAGAAACUGUCACCGUCCUAUUCAAAGGAGUCUUGUAGAAUCCGAUGACUCCUGUUAUGAUAGUGAAGAUGAUUAUAUUCCAAAUCCCAGGGAGGAAAGCAAUGACAGUGACUGCAGCUUGGAGUUAUCCCUGGAAAAUAAAAAAAAGAAUGUCAAAAUGUCAUCCAUUAGUCAGUGCAGAAACAAGUCUUCAAGUCAGAGCCGAUUUAAGUCCAGUCAGAACAAAAGUGAGUCUUCAAGUCAGAGCCGAUUUAAGUCCAGUCAGAACAAAAGUGAGUCUUCAAGUCAGAGCCGAUUUAAGUCCAGUCAGAGCAGAAGAUUUGAAACAAGUCAUGACUCGGCACAAAGAUUUCCUGAUAGCCUAGAAGAAGGAAGACACAAGGAGACAAGUGUUUCAAUGCCACCUGAAGAAGAGCCAUCGGUCUUUGUUAAUCCAGUUUUAAAGAAGGAGGAUGGUUCCAGAAGAUAUAAUAAAAAACAUCAUUGCUUGUAUUGUGGACAGGUAGUUCAGAAAAUGUCCAGACACUUGUCGCGUAGACACAGCGAUGUGGUUGAGGUCGCAAAGGCAUUAAGCUUGCCAAAGAAUUCAAAAGAAAGGCGACGACAGUUGGAUUUUCUCAGAAACAAGGGUAACUUUGAACACAACACUCAAGUUUUGGAGAGUCGCAAAGGCAAACUUAUCCCAUGGAAGCAGCCAAAGAAAAUGACAGAUGGACAAGAAUUCAUGCACUGUGUUUACUGCUAUGGAAUGUUCCGAAAAAGAGCGAUGUGGCGUCAUUUUCAGGUCUGUAAUUUCAAGCCUCAGGGUAAGACAUCUAAACGAGGUAAAACAAGAGUUCAAGCUUUGUGUGCAUUUGCUGAACCUGCUCCAAGUGGAUUUAGCGACGCGUACUGGAAGUUCUUAAGUGGUAUGAAUCAGGAUGAGGUUGCAGUUGCUAUUAAGGAAGACCGCUGCAUUCUUGAGUAUGGUUACAGACAGUUCAGAAAGAAUGAGUAUGUAAUCAGCCAGCACCAAUAUAUUCGACAAAAACUGAGAGAGCUUGGCAGACUGGUACUGGAAGCAAAAAAGUUGACACAUGUGAAGACUAUCAAAGAACUCAUAAAGCCUGAAAAGUACACUCAUGUUGUCUCGGCUGCAAGAUGCCUUGCUGGAUUCAGUGGUGAAACUGGCAAAUAUAAACGUCCGUCUCUAGCUCGCAAAGUUGGACAUGGCUUGCAUGCUUUAGCCAUGUUUAUCAAAUCUGAAGGAUUGAAGAUGAAAGAUCAACAGACUGCCAAAGAUGCUGAGGAAUUUGCACUGCUAUACCAAGAAAGUUGGAAAUUUGACAUUGCAAGUCAAGCGCUAACUCAGCUUAACCAGACCAAGUGGAAUUCUCCUCAGAUUCUACCAUUCACACAGGAUGUCCAAAGACUGCAUUGCUAUUUGUCUGAGAAACAGCAGAAGCAAUUGAAUGCCCUGCAAGAAGAGCCUUCUCCCUUGAACUGGAAGGACCUUGCUAAAGUGACCCUGGCGCAAGUUAUCCUCUUCAACCGACGAAGAGCAGGAGAAGUAUCCCGAAUGUCCUUGUCGGCGUUCAUGUCAAAGGAUACAUCAGAAACGCACGAAGAUGUUAACUUAGCCCUUACAGCACUCGAGCAGAAGCUUUGCAAACAUUUUGUUCGGAUUGCCAUAGUAGGAAAGAGAGGGAGGAAAGUCCCUGUUCUCCUUACCCCGGUCAUGAGAGAAUCGAUCGAUACUCUGACUGAAAAGCGAGAAGAAUGUGGAGUACUGAGUGAAAACGGAUACUUGUUUGCAUUGCCGCUCUCUGUCCAUUACUUGAGGGGUUCUGAUUGCAUUAGGCAGUUUGUGAAUGAAUGUGAUGACCUCAAACAUCCCAAAGCGCUAACCUCAACAAAACUUAGGAAACACAUUGCUACUCUGUCGACUGUUCUGAAUCUCAAGACUACAGAACUCGACCAAUUGGCAGAUUUCCUUGGGCAUAACAUCGAGGUCCACAGAAAGCACUACCGCCUUCCAGAGGGCACCCUCCAGCUAGCUAAAAUAAGCAAAGUUCUUCUAGCGCUGGAACAGGGACGGCUAGGAGAAUACAAGGGGAAGAAUCUGGAUGAAAUCCAGCUUGAUGUGACUGAGACUGUUGACAUGGAUGGGUGUUCACAAGAGGAAGAUGACUUUAUUCCAGAAGUACAGGAGCCUGAAGUUGAGGACAGUGUGGCAUCCACACAGGAACCUACUUCCACACAGGAACCUACUUCCACACAGGAACCUACUUCCACACAGGAACCUACUUCCACACAGGAACCUACUUCCACGCUUCAUUCCCAAUACCAGAGAAAGUCGUCAAAAAAGAGAGGUAAAGAAACUGCUGUCAAAAGAAGCUGGACAACAGAUGAAUGUGCGGCAGUAGAAAGGCACCUAAGGAAAUUCAUUGUGAGGAGCCAAGUUCCAGGGAAAAAGGACUGUCAGCGCUGCGUUGAUGCAGAAGCUCAAGCUUUAGGAAAUCGAGACUGGAAGGCGGUCAAAUACUUCAUCAAAAAUCGUAUUUCUGCCAUAAGAAGGAAAGUACAGUGAAAUACAGGUAGCUCAACGUAUUGGAUGCCUUCCCACUAGCAUUCACAUCGGGACAUGUUCUAAGUGUUUUCAACAGUUGACAUUUAGUUGUUUUCAUUGUAUUAUCCUCUUAAAGGGUUAGUUGUCACCAUUUACUCUUAUUUGUCAUUUCAAACCCAUAAGAAAUUAGUUCAUCUUUGGAACACAAAAUAUGUUUUGAAUGUUUCCUCCAUUGUUUGCAUUGCCGCUCUGUCCAUUACUUGAGGGGUUCCGAUUGCAUUAGGCAGUUUGUGAAUGAAUGUGAUGACAUCAAACACCCCAAAGCGCUAACCUCAACAAAACUAAGGAAACGCAUUGCUAUCUGUUCAUCCUAAACUUUCAAGCUUCAGAGCAUUGAUAACGUAGAAGUAAUCCAUGUGGUUUAAUCCCAGUUUUGUGAUGUGAAUGCUCUCUCACUUUAUCCACCCACUUAACAUUAUCCAACAAUUGCAAUAACUGUGAACUGGACUUUGCAUUGAUGCAGCACACUCAAUUAUACACAUUUUCUGGUUAAAAGGGAUUCUUUGCCUCAUAUGCCCUUUUCCUUGUUUGUCAUGUUGCUCUGCCCUGUUUUUGUGCUAAUGUUGAUCUCACUUAAUCAAUCUGUUAUUCAUAUUAUCCACCAAUGCAAUAACUCUGAACUGGACUUUGCAUCGCUGCAGCGCACACAAUUAUACAAAUUUUUCCUGGUUACCAAUGAUUAUUCACCUCAUGUGAUUUUUGUGUUAUUACCAAAUAUAUGUUCAUUGUGCAAUACCAAAUAUAUGUUCAUUGAGGACAAAUCAUGUUUUAAAGUUGUUGUUUUUUAAUCCAGUGUUUAGUGUAAAAUAUUACUCACGGUAUUAGUGCUAUAAUUCCACAGGGUCUUAAAGUCUUUAUUCAUUAGAUGAAUAGGGAGUUUUCAUGUGAAGUCCUCAAUUUAAAGGAGUAUAUUAUCUUUAGGUCGCAGUCAACAUGACUGGCUAGGAACAUGACUUCAUUAGAAAUUGAAGAAAAAUAACCAUGGGACAAACAAGAUCCCCUUCAGCAAAACUGCACAGUUCAUUCAGUGACCAAUACAAUGCAGACAAAGUACAGUUGGCGUCCUGCAGACUGAAGCAGUUCAGGCUGUGACCAAUAUUUGAGGGCUCAUUGAUUUAGAAAAGUCUCUGGAGUGGCUUUUUUUAUGCCAUGUUAAUGGCUAAACUAAUAUAGACGUGUGCGGAUUAAUUUAGAGGAUAUGCAUUAUAAUCUAAAAAAGUUUAUAUGGUAAUCAAGGGCAAAUAAUGGAAGUAGUUGAUGUUUCACAGAUAGUGACUUUGGUCCCUUCUAAGAUAUAAAGAUUAGAAAUGUGUGUGUAUCUGUGAAAGUGGACCCCACAACUCCUAAAUGUUAAAUCCGGGCCCCACAAAUGACUCAAAAACGCAUGUGCAAACAAUUUUGUUUGAAUUUUGGUAUAUUGAAGUGAUAUUUCUUAUUAGGAAUUUUUUGUUAUCUUGCUUGAUUUUUUACAAGUCUGUAGAACCACUGGAAGUGGUGGACCCCACAAUUGGGCAAAAAACGGUGGUCCCCCUUAUGGUAGAAAAACAAGUAUGUGUGUGUGUGUGUGUGUGUGUCUGAAAGCGUGCGUUUGAUUCAUAUCCAUGUUUCAUUACAGCUGACAGUGACAUGAAGCCACAGCAACAUCUAUUUUCUCUCUCGUUCUUUCUCUUUCAUAGGUGGGCUUAUACGUAUCACUAUGCAGUGGAGCAAUAGAAUCCAAUGCAGUGUGAGGGAAUGCAUCGGAUGAUGUGAAAAACCUCUUGCAUCACUCCAUACUAACCCAACCCAUCUCUCUAUAUAGUAAAGUGAAAGUGAAAGUGAAAGUGAAUCUGACGUGACAUACAGCCAAGUAUGGUGACCCAUACUUGGAAUUCGUGCUCUGCAUUUAACCCAUCCAAAGUGCACACAUACAGCAGUGAACACACACCGUGAACACACACCUGGAGCAGUGGGCAGCCAUUUAUGCUGCGGAGCAGUUGGGUGUGCAGAUAGCACUGUACAUUCACUCCCCCCACCUACAAUCCCUGCCGGCCCGAGACUUGAACUUGAACGUAAAGACUGCAUGCUAACACUAAUGUUCAAAAGGUUGGUGUCAGCAUUUUUUUUUUUUUUUGCCUUUGAAUUCAUUAAGGAUGCAUUAAAUUGAGCAGUACAACUGUUGUUAACAUUGUAAAUUUCAACAAAUCAUACUGACCCCUCGAUGGCAAACAGGUGUGAGAUAAUUAAUGAACAACUAAAAAAAAAAAAACUAAAGAUUAAACAUGAACAAAGAAGAGAGGAAAAAGGAAGGUUAGCAAAAUAAAAGUCCUUCAAAACUAAAUCAAAACAAACUGGACUAAACAUACCUGUGACAGAUAUAUUGUUAU
Molecule: long non-coding RNA, 6196 nt
Organism: Cyprinus carpio carpio
Lineage: Eukaryota; Metazoa; Chordata; Actinopteri; Cypriniformes; Cyprinidae
Source: Ensembl